RNAcentral lists this ribosomal RNA (255 nucleotides) under uncultured bacterium. RNAcentral's name for it is "partial 16S ribosomal RNA". It matches the Rfam family "Bacterial small subunit ribosomal RNA", at positions 524 to 776 of the family's 1533-position model. The record is from RNAcentral.
UACGUAGGGCGCAAGCGUUGUCCGGAAUUAUUGGGCGUAAAGAGCUCGUAGGCGGCCUGUUGCGUCCGCUGUGAAAUCCCGGGGCUUAACCCCGGGCUUGCAGUGGAUACGGGCAGGCGUGGAGGCAGGCAGGGGAGAACGGAAUCCCGGUGUGAGCGGUGAAAUGCGCAGAGUAUCGGGAGGAACACCGGUGGCGAAGGCGGUUCUCUGGGCCUGUACUGACGCUGAGGAGCGAAAGCGUGGGGAGCGAACAGG